UUUAAUGGAGAGUUUGAUCCUGGCUCAGGACGAACGCUGGCGGCGUGCCUAAUACAUGCAAGUCGAGCGGGGUCAGUUAGAAGCUUGCUUCUAAUCAACCUAGCGGCGGACGGGUGAGUAACACGUAGGCAACCUGCCCACAAGACAGGGAUAACUACCGGAAACGGUAGCUA
This 173-nucleotide ribosomal RNA is filed under the name Paenibacillus sp. EKM211P. RNAcentral describes it as "partial 16S ribosomal RNA". It matches the Rfam family "Bacterial small subunit ribosomal RNA", at positions 1 to 165 of the family's 1533-position model. Lineage: Bacteria; Bacillati; Bacillota; Bacilli; Caryophanales; Paenibacillaceae. The record is from RNAcentral.